RNAcentral lists this ribosomal RNA (253 nucleotides) under uncultured bacterium. Its description in RNAcentral is "partial 16S ribosomal RNA". It matches the Rfam family "Bacterial small subunit ribosomal RNA", at positions 524 to 776 of the family's 1533-position model. The record is from RNAcentral.
UACAGAGGGUGCAAGCGUUGCUCGGAUUUACUGGGCGUAAAGCGUGCGCAGACGGCUGAGCAAGUUGGACGUGAAAGCCUGGGGCUCAACCCCAGAAUUGCGUUCAAAACUACUCGGCUCGAGUAUGAGAGAGGGAAGUGGAAUUCCUGGUGUAGAGGUGAAAUUCGUAGAUAUCAGGAGGAACACCAGCGGCGAAGGCGGCUUCCUGGCUCAUUACUGACGUUCAGGCACGAAAGCGUGGGGAGCAAACAGG